This 7433-nucleotide long non-coding RNA is filed under the name Malus domestica (apple). Its description in RNAcentral is "long non-coding RNA (MDOM_LNC011507)". Lineage: Eukaryota; Viridiplantae; Streptophyta; Magnoliopsida; Rosales; Rosaceae. The record is from RNAcentral.
UAUGACACACCCCGUCCCGAAGGAGGGCAUGCUGGCCGUCACGUGAGAGUGACGUAACCAUUUGCACAGUACGGAAGCUUUAAGAUACAAUUUAUAAGUUGAUACACCCGAAGGUGAGUCCUAAUUUUGUCCAAUCUGUCAGAACACCGUCGAAUUCCUCGUAGUCACCACACCUUUGUGAUUCCUGAACCUGGAGGGGCGCAAAACCAAAAUUGAGUGGGUCAGUAAAACAAUUCUUUUUCCAAAUCCAAACAUUUCUCAAAACGUUGUAACCCCUCUCCGUAAAACCUGUAUACUUUCCCAGAAAUGUAAAAUAUAAAUAUACAUAUAUAUUCUCAAGACUUCAAGUCGUUAACUCAACAUUUUCAUAACAAUUAUGCCAUGCCACAUCAUCUCAACAGUAAUAAGGUAUGAAUGCAUCAACAUAAUCAUAUCAGGUGCAAGAAAGUAAUCAACCGUAGGCCCUCUAAUAGCCCUGUACGGUUGAACCUAGAGCUCAAAAUCUAUCAUUAUCACUCUACCGGAGUCACCUCUGUGACCCGUCCGGCCUUCUGCACACAAGUUACGCUCUAGUGCUUCUCAUAAAUCAUCUGUGCACAUAAUCUAAGGUCACCCACCAGUCGGAAUCUCACUAACACUCUCGCGACUGGUCUGUCGUACCCACUCCGCGUGGACUGUACGACUAGCAUCUACUUGGAUCCAAGGCGAGCGUGCGAUGUGGUGAAUACUAUAAGCACUAAACCAUGGUGCAGGAUUUGAGCUCAAUAUAUAUCAUCAUCAUCAUAACAGUAAUUAAAUACUCAUCUGUGCGUCCACCGCACCAUUUCAUACAUAUGCAUCAUAAAUCAAUUCUUACCUGUGCGUCCACCGCACCAAUUCAUACAUAUGCAUCAUAAAUCAAUUCUUACCUGUGCGUCCACCGCACCAAUUCAUACAUAUGCAUCAUAAAUCAAUUCUUACAUGUGCGUCCACCGCACCAAUUCAUACAUAUGCAUCAUAUAUUAAUUCAUGCAUGGCAUUUCAACUCACAUUUCUAUAUACUUUUCAUAUCAAUUCUAUGCAUGGUAUUUCACUUCCCGUUUUUCCACAUAACUCAUAUGCAUUUCAUUUUAAACAUAUUUUCAUUUCAAUUCAAUUUCUGGGAAACGUCAAGUAUAUAUAUAUACGGAAAACAAAACUGCCCACUCACCUGGAGUUCGUCCAACAACUCCCUAGCACCACACAUCAAGGCGUCAUGACGAUCGCCGCCUAGAAUAGUAAUAGUAAUCAAAUCCAGGCUCAGAAUUCAUAUCGAUAGAAUACAUAACUUAUAUAAAAUACGUCACUACGUUGAUCGAUCCGGAAGAUCUGCCACUCAGAUUUUAAAUCCAUAACUUCCAGAGGUCCACAUUAUACCUCUAGGACAACAUCCUAAAAUUUCAUUACCAUCCAACGGUCGGAUCUCCGUCAAUUUCCAAAACUAAGUGACGGUUAACAUUUUAUAUUAUGGACUUACAAUUCCAAUUCCGGAAGAUCCGUAACUCGGAUUCCCAAUCCGUAAGUUCCAAUAAUCCUCAAAUAUUACGUAUUACAACGUAUCAAAUUUUGGUGACGAUCCAACGGUCGGAUCAUCAAUUCACAUUUUCACCUAAAUGUGAAAACUAUAAAACGUUAUUUGAACACCUAACCAACAAUCCUCAAUAACUUUCUCAUACGGUGUUCAAUUUAGGUAUAUGAAUAUACCACAGUGAUCUACUCGACGUCACGGACGUCGACAUAUUUUUAAAAUAAUUUUAUUUUUAUUUUUUAUUUUUACUGUAGCACCUUCUUCUUCCUUGGGUCGCCGGACUGGUUUUUCCGGCGGCCGUUUUCCGGGCAGUUUUUCAAAUUGCCAUAACUUUGUCAUUUCUCAACGAAAUCAAGUGAUUCAAAAACGAAAGUUGUAGCCCUUGAAGAGAAAAAGAGAAUGGUACCUUGCACAACACCUAGUUCGCCGUGGUUUGGCCGGAAACUUCCUCGAAAGCCUCGGAGGUCGCCGGAAACUGGGUAUUUUUCAAAUGAGUAUAACUUCUUCAAUACUCAACGAAAUUGAGUGAAACAAAAAGGAAAGUUGUAGUACUUGACGAGACGAAGAGAUUGAUACCUACCUCGACUCCUAACUCGCCGGGUAUUCGCCGGAAAACGCCUCGAAAGCUCCGGCCAAACUUUGAACUUGUCGAUCUCCGUGUUCUUACGUCCAAAAACUUCCAACGAAGCACUCCGAGCUUCCUUGGGACCUUACUAAACUCGCUGUGAUCUUGUUUUAGCCUAAAACGUAACCAAUUCAAAGCUCAUGAACAGUGUCAUCUCACGGCAACUUUAGAACUAGGGUUUUCGAAGUGAAACUCACCUGAAAUUGGUAUCCCCGUGCUCGUGAAGUCCCCAGGAUCACGAUGGUGGUCUUAAAUGGAACGUUGGUACAAGAUUGUGGUGGUUCUUGGUGGUUGCCGUGAGUUCGAGAGUAAGAGAGAGAAUGAGAGAGUUUCAGAAAAGAAUAAGAGAGAGAGAGAGUCUGGAAUGAAAGAAGAAGAGAGAAGAAAGGUUACGGGUUUUAGGGAGGGAAUUCAGGGUAGGAGGCCCUACCUAAGUCCAAGCACAAAUUAACACAUACAAAUAUAAAUCUAACCCUAGUUUAGGAUCUUAAAGUAAAACAAAUGUCAUACAUUUACACACCUUAAUCCCGUUUAAGGUCACAUUGGUCAUCUCACGUCCUCGGAAUUAAUAAUUCCGGGACGGGCUGUGACAAUCUCCCCUCCUUAUAGAAUUUCGUCCCCGAAAUUCCAAUCACCAACCAGAACAUCAAAACUCAUAAAAUAGUCUCGGAUACAUAACUCUCAUCCGUUCUUCUGUCUCCCAUGUAAUUUUCUACUGAAUGAUUUCCUUCACAAAGCUUUUACUACUUACUCUGUCUUAAUUCUUAGGACCUUCUUUUUCCAAUCCAAAGUCGACAUUAGUUCCUCACCAAUCAGAUCCGGCUUAAUUCUCAAUAGUUGCACCAAAGUCCCAUGUAACGACUCUGCCACUUAGUGACAACGCAUCGAACACAAAAUACAUUAUGUGCCUUAGCCAAUUCUGAAGGCAUCACAAACUUGUAUGCAAGUUUAUUGAUUCCUUUAGUGAAAAAAAAAAAUGGUCUGAUGUGUCUAAAUCUUAUCUUGUCUCUUUUCCAAUUCUCGUCAUUUCUGUUCGCGGUGAAUUUUCCAAAAAUAUCAAACCAUUUACCUUACACACUCGAUUAGUGGCAUAUCCAUCUGUUGAUCUCUUUUUGCCAUUCCUGGUUACUUCAGGUUAACUUAAUCACCUGAAUACUUUGAGGAGACUCAUCCAUAGUCUCAGGGUCUACUAAAACUCUUUCUUGAUCGAAUCUUUCUCUACCCAGAAACAUUCCAUUCACAAGUCAUCAAAAACCGACUCACGUGACACAUUUCAUGGUCCUUAUGGCGUUACUUCGGAAACUGCACAACCAACAUACUUAAGAAACUUAGCAGUUCCGUAAUCCAAUUCUCUUUUCCAUAAAACAAAUUAGUAAUGUUGCACUGUCUGGGAAAGGUUGUUACUCAACACUGGAGUAAAUGUACUAACUUGUUACUUAACAAGUAUAACUUCUUCUCGAUCUUCCAUUCUUAACUUUACUUUAGUUGGUUUCCAAUCCACAAGAAGAUAAUCUUGGCAAACGUGCCAGACAUUAAUCUUACUGUAGUCUUCUCGCCAAGUGCUUGAGCUAGAACAAACUUUACGAUCACCCUGAUCGUACAAUCAUGUUCAUUAAACAAUACAAUUCACUUUCGCUGCCUCAUAUCAAAUUCCUUCCAAGUAAUGGAUAUUGAAGACUUUUUGGAUUCGUAAAAAAAAAUCUUGCAUUCCCACUAAAAUAUAAUGUCUCCAUAACUUCACAGCACGAAUGGUAAUCGUGACUUCCAAAUCACCAGUAGGGUAAUUCAUCUUAUGAGAUUCCAUUUAUCGUGAAACGUAUGCAAUCACCCUAACAUUUGCAUCAACAUGCAUCCAAUACCAUUCAAGAAACAUCACUAAAAAUUUAUGAUUACCAUUAUUCUCUGGGAUUACCAAAAUACGUGCAUGAGUGAGGAAAUACUUCAGUUGUUGAAUCCUUUGCUUACAAUUCCUUCCCACUCAUACCUAACCUCUUUUCUCAACAGUCUCGUCAAUGACAAAGCAAUGACUGAAAAAUCUUUCACAACCAUCCAAGAUAGCCUGGUAAGCUAAGAAAUUCCAAAUCUCAAUUACGACUCGUGGUUGUUCCAAAUUUUAAUUUCUGUUACCUUUUAAGGAUUCACUUGAAUACCUUAAGAAUAUAUAACAUAUCCCAGAAAUGCUGCUUGAUUCAUCCAACAUUCGCAUUUGCUAAACUUAGCAUACAACCAACGUUCUCUUAAUCUUUGCUUCACCGACUUAAUACGUUUACAUGCUCUGCUCUAGGCUUAGAGUAUACCAGAAUAUCUUCAAUGAAAAUGAUAUCUAUUUAUCAAGGCAUUAUUGGAAUACUUCAUCCAAUAACUCAUAAAACAGCAUGAGUAUCCAUAUAGCAUCACCAAACUUCAUAAAGACUAUAACGAGUCCAGAAAACCAUCUUAUGAUCAAUGUCACUUAUAAUAUUCAAUUGGUAGUAACCAGAUCUCAAUUCAAUCUUUGAAUCUUCGCAAUUACUUCUGAGCUGGUUAAAUAAACAUCAGUACAUCACCAUGGAUAACGGUUCUCAAUCGUUACCCGACUCCAUUGUCUAUAAUCAAUGAACAGUCUCAAGAUCCAUUUUCUUCCUCACCAACAAACUGGGGCUCCUCAAAAGUGUUGUACUAGGUUGAAUAAAACUUUUAUCAACCAAUUCCCUCAACUGAAUUUCCAAUUCCCUUAACUCAUCAUGAACCAAUCUCCAAUAUAAAUUUAUACCUGGCAACAAAUCAAUAGUGAACCUCAUAUCUCUGCCUGAAGGCAAUCCAGGUAUACUUUCAGGGAAGACAUCAAGAAAAGUCUAACUCUUUCGACAUUAUUCACACUACUCCAAACAACAUCAUUUAGCACCACAUGAGCUAAGUAUUUUUGACAGCCUUUCGAAAACAAUCUCUUUGCUCUCACAACAUAAAUAAUGGCUGAACUCAAUCCAUUUUGCAUACUUACAAAAGUAAUCUCUGUUCAUCCAGAUCGAUGGAAAGUACUGGUUUCCCAUAACAUUUCGUCUUGUCACAAUUAUAACCAACCAAUCUAAUGGAAAUAAUUUAACCGACACAAUACAUACUCUAUUACUACUAAGCAUUCUGAAUAAGUACAAAAUAAUCUACCGGUUUACUUACUUAACGAAUCCACGAAUGAGUUAUUAAUAUUACGGUCUGCAGCCCGCAAUACUGAUAAAUCAUCGUUGUCUCGAUAAGUAGGCAACCACUCUCAAAGAUAUAACAUUACUAUUUUGUCACUCAAUGCAAAAUACAUACACUCAUCUCAACUACAUUUAUUUACUACUCUCAAGGUAAUAACAUACAUAAUAAGAAAUAUAUCAGCCGAAGUCAACUAGAAUGAUCAAUACGACUGAUUCAACUCUUAUCUCAAUAAUACGUCGGCCGGAUCCACUCCGCGUGGUCGGUACGGCCGAGCCUAUAACUCACAAAUUUCGCAUGUGUCAAUCGAAUCCACUUCUCGUGGCCUGUACGGCUGAACAUAUAACUCAUCAAAUUUCUCUGUACUCACAGUCAAUCCGACCAAACUACUAAGUUUAUAACUCUUCUGAAUCGACACUAUGAUAUCAUGGAAAAUUAUUGAGUACAACUGAUUCUAGGGACGAUUCACAAUUCUGUGUCCCCUCUGUUCACAUAAACACAUUCAUUAAUUUCACACUUCCCAAAGUGUUAAUUUUUGUACCUGCAGCACAAGGUACAUUUCCUUUACUCGAGACACCUUGUCUCAAAUAUCUGGGAUUACCAGUAUAUCCAUCACUUUUAUUCUGACCAGCGACAUUAAAACCUCAGCUGGAAAAAUUAACUCUAGCUUCACUUCUUUCGAAGCUCUGAAUCUUUCUAUAUCCUUGAUAUGACGAAUCAUUAACUUUAUCGUCUUCUUUUAAUUCCUAUUCUUUUCUUAUUCUUCUUUAUUCUCGUUGCUCAUGUUCUCAGAGUCCUCAAGAUUCAACAACAUCUAGCAUACUCCUGAUAAGAACUACAAUGGAUAGUGGUCACCCAAAAUACCACUUCCCUUUUGUCACCCAGCUUAAAACAACAUAACACCUCCACCAAAUUAACAACAAUAUCUGGAUGGAACGAGGCUAGUCUGAAAACUUUCUAUAAUAUCCCUCGAUCAUCACCUUCCUUGUCUCAUAUUUGUAAAUUCUUGUUUACUACCAUCGAUAAAUGCCGGAGGGAUAAACUUUUCCUUUAAACAAGUCCUUAAACAAUUCUCAAUCGACUGAUUCCUCUGGUGACAACAAUUCAUACUCCUGUUUCCACCAGGAUACAAAUUCAUAACCAAAACCAGGUAGUCGUCUCGACCCCCUGUCAGAAGGAAAUUUCCUUUGACUUGCAUAAUCUGAAACAUCUUUUCCAAAUGGUUAAACCGUUACUUCGCUCUCUCAGGUUCAUCAUUUCAUAAGGUGAUUCAAGUUCAACUCAUUACCCAUCUUAAAAUGUCCCUUUAGACAAUAGACUGAAUCACCAUAGUAAUAGUUUCCCCCUAAACCGCUAAAUCAGGGAGACUAAGUUCCUCUAACUACGUGGCUUGCUACGAGGCGGUGUAGUUCUGACAGAAUUCACUAGAACUUCUCAAGAUGUCCAAGAUUGCAACCAUGCUCUGAUACCAACUGACACACCCCGUCCCGAAGGAGGGCAUGCUGGCCGUCACGUGAGAGUGACGUAACCAUUUGCACAGUACGGAAGCUUUAAGAUACAAUUUAUAAGUUGAUACACCCGAAGGUGAGUCCUAAUUUUGUCCAAUCUGUCAGAACACCGUCGAAUUCCUCGUAGUCACCACACCUUUGUGAUUCCUGAACCUGGAGGGGCGCAAAACCAAAAUUGAGUGGGUCAGUAAAACAAUUCUUUUUCCAAAUCCAAACAUUUCUCAAAACGUUGUAACCCCUCUCCGUAAAACCUGUAUACUUUCCCAGAAAUGUAAAAUAUAAAUAUACAUAUAUAUUCUCAAGACUUCAAGUCGUUAACUCAACAUUUUCAUAACAAUUAUGCCAUGCCACACAUCAUCUCAACAGUAAUAAGGUAUGAAUGCAUCAACAUAAUCAUAUCAGGUGCAAGAAAGUAAUCAACCGUAGGCCCUCUAAUAGCCCUGUACGGUUGAACCUAGAGCUCAAAAUCUAUCAUUAUCACUCUACCGGAGUCACCUCUGUGACCCGUCCGGCCUUCUGCACACAAGUUACGCUCUAGUGCUUCUCAUAAAUCAUCUGUGCACAUAAUCUAAGGUCACCC